AAAGGGGGGAAAAAACUGCAGGAGCUAUUUUUAAUUCCCAUCAUGUGCAUCUCAAGGCUGUGAUGUGCAUUAAGGUUAUUCAUAAUUGUUUGAACUUAAAUUAGGUCCUAUUGGAGCGCACAACUAAGCAAUAUGGUUGUAUCUAUUGUUUCACUUAUUAUAUUUGGCAAAGACAGUAAUCAAAUUCUUUUUACCUAUCUCGUUAAUGUGAUCAGAAAUAGAAAAAUAUGGAUGAAAUUAAAAAAGACGUAUUACUACAUUCUCUUAUUCUAUAAGAGAGAGUUAAGCACCUCUCCGUCAACAUGCCUGCCUGUGCUAUGUGGGUAUCUUGAUCAUUUUACAUUACAUUCUCUUAAUCUAUAACAGAGAGUUAUCUCUAGCCUUUCUUGUGGAUUUCAAAUGACGAAAAAAAUCAGAAAUAUUCAGCUCCCAAGUACGCAGCAUUUUGGAAUUCCGUUUUAUUCCUAAAGAUCAGGUUUCCCAAAUUACUUCUACUAUGUCUGCUGACUCACACUCCUGAAAGAACGCCAUCUGCUGUUUUUGCUUUUGGGUGGACGGUGGGCAAUAUCAGAUAUUACUUUUCUUCCCCUACAAUUUUUAAUCAGUUUACACUCUGUUUAUUGUUUAGUUUCGCUUUGUUCUUCGGCUUUGUUGCUGCUACUCUUUUGAUCACUUCCAGGUUUCUGGAAUUAACGUCUGAUUACUAUGUCUAACUACUCCGGCUUUGCGAGGAUCUAAUGGAUACUAAGAUGCUCUUUGGUGGAAAAGUAGUUAUUUUUGGAGAAAAACUACAACUGUCAGAGAAUAUGCGUGCAAGAA
Nicotiana tabacum (common tobacco) is the source of this 819-nucleotide non-coding RNA. The record is from RefSeq and is a predicted model, not a curated record. Lineage: Eukaryota; Viridiplantae; Streptophyta; Magnoliopsida; Solanales; Solanaceae.